GACCGUGCAAAGGUAGCGUAAUCACCUGUCUUUUAAAUAAAGACCUGUAUGAAUGGCAAGACGAGGGUUUUACUGUCUCCUCCCCCCAGUCAAUGAAAUUGAUCUACCCGUGCAGAAGCGGGUAUAAAAACAUAAGACGAGAAGACCCUAUGGAGCUUUAGGCAUAUAUCAAAUAUGUAAAAAACCAAAUUUUUCCAAAUAGGCCUAAAAAAUGAGAAAAACAAGUAUUAAUGAUUAAGUGCCUUCGGUUGGGGCGACCACGGGGAAAAAUAAAACCCCCACAUGGAAUGGGAAAAAUAACCCUAAGCCAAGAAAAACACUUCUAAGCAACAAAAUUUUUGACCAAUAAACGACCCAGGGACACCAUCCCUGAGCAAUGAACCAAGUUACCCUAGGGAUAACAGCGCAAUCCUUUCCCAGAGCCCAUAUCAACGAAAGGGUUUACGACCUCGAUGUUGGAUCAGGGCAUCCUAACGGUGCAGCCGCU
This 487-nucleotide ribosomal RNA is filed under the name Conger erebennus. RNAcentral's name for it is "partial 16S ribosomal RNA". It matches the Rfam family "Bacterial large subunit ribosomal RNA", at positions 1944 to 2563 of the family's 2925-position model. The record is from RNAcentral. Lineage: Eukaryota; Metazoa; Chordata; Actinopteri; Anguilliformes; Congridae.